RNAcentral lists this ribosomal RNA (1480 nucleotides) under uncultured rumen bacterium. RNAcentral's name for it is "bacterial SSU rRNA". It matches the Rfam family "Bacterial small subunit ribosomal RNA". The record is from RNAcentral.
AGAGUUUGAUCAUGGCUCAGGAUGAACGCUGGCGGCGUGCCUAAUACAUGCAAGUCGAGCGAGAAUCUGAUGAUUGGAGAUCCGUCAAAGAGAAUCAGAGGAAAGCGGCGGACGGGUGAGUAACGCGUAGGCAACCUGCCCUUAGCAGAGGGAUAGCCAUUGGAAACGAUGAUUAAAACCUCAUAAUGCUGCAAGAGCACAUGCUCAUGCAGCCAAAGAUUUAUCGGCUAAGGAUGGGCCUGCGUCUGAUUAACUAGUUGGUGGGGUAACGGCUCACCAAGGUGACGAUCAGUAGCCGACCUGAGAGGGUGAUCGGCCACAUUGGAACUGAGACACGGUCCAAACUUCUACGGAAGGCAGCAGUAAGGAAUCUUGCACAAUGGGGGAAACCCUGAUGCAGCAACGCCGCGUGAACGAUGAAGGCCUUAGGGUUGUAAAGUUCUGAUCUGUGGGAAGAAGAAGUGACGGUACCACAGGAGAAAGCCCCGGCUAAAUACGUGCCAGCAGCCGCGGUAAUACGUAUGGGGCAAGCGUUAUCCGGAAUUAUUGGGCGUAAAGAGUGCGUAGGUGGUUACCUAAGCGCAAGGUUUAAUCUUGAGGCUCAACCUCAUUCUGCCUUGCGAACUGGGCUACUUGAGUGCAGGAGGGGAAAGCGGAAUUCCCAGUGUAGCGGUGAAAUGCGUAGAUAUUGGGAAGAACACCGGUGGCGAAGGCGGCUUUCUGGACUGUAACUGACACUGAGGCACGAAAGCGUGGGGAGCAAACAGGAUUAGAUACCCUGGUAGUCCACGCCGUAAACGAUGAGCACUAGUUGUUGGGUACGAAUGUAUUCAGUGACGCAGUUAACGCAAUAAGUGCUCCGCCUGGGGAGUACGGUGGCAACACUAAAACUCAAAGGAAUUGACGGGGACCCGCACAAGCAGCGGAGCAUGUGGUUUAAUUCGAAGCAACGCGAAAAACCUUACCAGGGCUUGACAUCCCUCUGACCGCACUUUAACAGGUGCUUUCUUCGGACAGAGGAGACAGGUGGUGCAUGGUUGUCGUCAGCUCGUGUCGUGAGAUGUUGGGUUAAGUCGCGCAACGAGCGCAACCCUUGCCGUCAGUUACUAACAUUAAGUUGAGGACUCUAACGGGACUGCCGAGGUCAACUCGGAGGAAGGUGGGGAUGACGUCAAAUCAUCAUGCCCCUUAUGUUCUGGGCUACACACGUGCUACAAUGGUCGGUACAAUGAGAAGCAAGAUGGCGACAUGGAGCAAAUCACCAAAACCGAUCCCAGUUCGGAUUGCAGGCUGCAACUCGCCUGCAUGAAGUCGGAGUUGCUAGUAAUCGCGAAUCAGCAUGUCGCGGUGAAUGCGUUCCCGAGUCUUGUACACACCGCCCGUCACACCAUGGAAGUUGGGGGCGCCCAAAGUUGGCUAAUCAAUCUGCUACCUAAGGCGAAACCAAUGACUGGGGUGAAGUCGUAACAAGGUAACCGUA